This 489-nucleotide ribosomal RNA is filed under the name uncultured bacterium. RNAcentral's name for it is "bacterial SSU rRNA". It matches the Rfam family "Bacterial small subunit ribosomal RNA", at positions 777 to 1269 of the family's 1533-position model. The record is from RNAcentral.
AAUAGAUACCCAGGUAGUCCACACUGUAAACGUUGAUGACUCGCUGUUGGCGAUACACAGCCAGCGGCCAAGCGCAAGCGAUAAGUCAUCCACCUGGGGAGUACGCCGGCAACGGUGAAACUCAAAGGAAUUGACGGGGGUCCGCACAAGCGGUGAAGCAUGUGGUUUAAUUCGAUGAUACGCGAGGAACCUUACCUGGGCUAGAAUGCCCAUGACCGGUCCAGAGAUGGACUCUUCCGCAAGGACAUGGAGCAAGGUGCUGCAUGGCUGUCGUCAGCUCGUGCCGUGAGGUGUUGGGUUAAGUCCCGCAACGAGCGCAACCCCGUAUUCUUAGUUGCCAGCAUGUUAUGGUGGGGACUCUAAGAAGACUGCCUGCGCAAGCAGAGAGGAAGGAGGGGAUGACGUCAAGUCAUCAUGGCCCUUACGCCCAGGGCUACACACGUGCUACAAUGGCGUAUACAGAGUGUUGCAAGCUGGUGACAGUGAGCC